This 459-nucleotide ribosomal RNA is filed under the name uncultured bacterium. RNAcentral's name for it is "partial 16S ribosomal RNA". It matches the Rfam family "Bacterial small subunit ribosomal RNA", at positions 338 to 795 of the family's 1533-position model. The record is from RNAcentral.
CCUACGGGAGGCAGCAGUGAGGAAUAUUGGUCAAUGGGCGGAAGCCUGAACCAGCCAAGUAGCGUGCGGGAUGAAGGCCCUACGGGUCGUAAACUGCUUUUGUACGGGGAUAAAAUCAUCCACGUGUGGAUGUCUGCAGGUACUGUGCGAAUAAGGGUCGGCUAAUUCCGUGCCAGCAGCCGCGGUAAUACGGAGGGUCCGAGCGUUAUCCGGAUUCAUUGGGCUUAAAGGGAGCGUAGGCGGGCUGUCAAGUCAGCGGUAAAAUCGCGCGGCUCAACCGCGCCCCGCAGUUGAAACUGGGCGUCUUGAGUUCACAACAGGCAGGCGGAAUUCGUGGUGUAGCGGUGAAAUGCUUAGAUAUUACGAAGAACCCCGAUUGCGAAGGCAGCCUGCCGGGGUGCGACUGACGCUGAGGCUCGAAGGUGCGGGUAUCAAACAGGAUUAGAUACCCUUGUAGUC